RNAcentral lists this ribosomal RNA (1383 nucleotides) under Arctodiaptomus salinus. RNAcentral describes it as "SSU rRNA". It matches the Rfam family "Eukaryotic small subunit ribosomal RNA", at positions 50 to 1455 of the family's 1831-position model. The record is from RNAcentral. Lineage: Eukaryota; Metazoa; Arthropoda; Copepoda; Calanoida; Diaptomidae.
CAUGCAUGUCUAAGUACAAGCCUCAGUAAGGUGAAACCGCGAAUGGCUCAUUAAAUCACACCUAAUCUACUGGAAAGUUACUAGUUACUUGGAUAACUGAGGUAAUUCUUGAGCUAAUACAUGCGAAAAAUCUCGACUCACGGAGAGAUGCUUUUAUUAGAUCAAAACCAAACGGCUUCGGCCGUCUCAUUGGUGACUCUGAAUAACUUUGGGCUGAUCGUAUGGCCUUGUGCCGACGACGUUUCCUUCGAAGGUGUGCCCUAUCAACUGUCGACUGUGAUAUAGACGCUCACAGUGGUUUUGACGGGUAACGGGGAAUCAGGGUUCGAUUCCGGAGAGGGAGCCUUAAAAACGGCUACCACAUCCAAGGAAGGCAGCAGGCACGCAAAUUACCCAAUGAACGAAGUUCGAGGUAGUGACGAAAAAUAACGAUACAGGACUCAUCCGAGGCCCUGUAAUUGGAAUGAGUACACUUUAAAACCGUUCCCGAGGAUCUAUUGGAGGGCAAGUCUGGUGCCAGCAGCCGCGGUAAUUCCAGCUCCAAUAGCGUAUAUUAAAGUUGUUGUGGUUAAAAAGCUCGUAGUUGGAUCUCGGCGGACAGAAGUCGGUCCGAAUGCUUUCGGUACUGGCUUGUUUGUCCGUGUGUUUUGCCAGAGGCAGGCGGGUGCUCUUCGCCGAGUGUCCGUUUGUGCUGGCAGGUUUACUUUGAAAAAAUUAGAGUGCUCAAAGCAAGCUCUUACGCUUGAAUAUUCGUGCAUGGAAUAAUAGAAUAGGAUGUCGUUUCUAUUUUGUUGGUUUUCGGAAAUCGACAUAAUGAUUAAUAGGGACAGUCGGGGGCAUUUGUAUUCAAACGACAGAGGUGAAAUUCUUGGACCGUUUGAAGACAAACUACUGCGAAAGCAUUUGCCAAGAAUGUUUUCAUUAAUCAAGAACGAAAGUUAGAGGUUCGAAGGCGAUUAGAUACCGCCCUAGUUCUAACCAUAAACGAUGCCAGCUAGCGAUCUGCAGGCGUUUUACUUUACGACCUUGCAGGGAGCUUCCGGGAAACCAAAGCUUGUGGGUUCCAGGGGAAGUAUGGUUGCAAAGCUGAAACUUAAAGGAAUUGACGGAAGGGCACCACCAGGAGUGGAGCCUGUGGCUUAAUUUGACUCAACACGGGAAAUCUCACCAGGCCCGGACACGAGAAGGAUUGACAGAUUGAUAGCUCUUUCUUGAUUUCGUGGGUGGUGGUGCAUGGCCGUUCUUAGUUGGUGGAGUGAUUUGUCUGGUUAAUUCCGAUAACGAACGAGACUCUGUCCUGCUAACUAGUGUCUGCUUCUUUUCUGAGCAGAUUAUUCUUCUUAGAGGGACUGGUAGCUCUUAGCUACACGAGAUUGAGCAAUA